Molecule: ribosomal RNA, 484 nt
Filed under: uncultured bacterium
Lineage: Bacteria
Description: partial 16S ribosomal RNA
Rfam family: Bacterial small subunit ribosomal RNA
Source: RNAcentral
AUUGAACGCUGGCGGCAGGCCUAACACAUGCAAGUCGAGCGGAUGAAGGGAGCUUGCUCCUGGAUUCAGCGGCGGACGGGUGAGUAAUGCCUAGGAAUCUGCCUGGUAGUGGGGGAUAACGUCCGGAAACGGGCGCUAAUACCGCAUACGUCCUGAGGGAGAAAGGGGGGGAUCUUCGGACCUCACGCUAUCGGAUGAGCCUAGGUCGGAUUAGCUAGUUGGUGGGGUAAAGGCCUACCAAGGCGACGAUCCGUAACUGGUCUGAGAGGAUGAUCAGUCACACUGGAACUGAGACACGGUCCAGACUCCUACGGGAGGCAGCAGUGGGGAAUAUUGGACAAUGGGCGAAAGCCUGAUCCAGCCAUGCCGCGUGUGUGAAGAAGGUCUUCGGAUUGUAAAGCACUUUAAGUUGGGAGGAAGGGCAGUAAGUUAAUACCUUGCUGUUUUGACGUUACCAACAGAAUAAGCACCGGCUAACUUCGUG